AGUAUAUCAUCAAAGCUGUUCCAAUCUACAACUUGAG
This 37-nucleotide small RNA is filed under the name Romboutsia ilealis. RNAcentral's name for it is "CRISPR spacer". Lineage: Bacteria; Bacillati; Bacillota; Clostridia; Peptostreptococcales; Peptostreptococcaceae. The record is from RNAcentral.